Molecule: ribosomal RNA, 253 nt
Filed under: uncultured bacterium
Lineage: Bacteria
Description: partial 16S ribosomal RNA
Rfam family: Bacterial small subunit ribosomal RNA
Source: RNAcentral
UACGUAGGGUGCAAGCGUUGUCCGGAAUUAUUGGGCGUGAAGAGCUCGUAGGCGGUUUGUCGCGUCUGCUGUGAAAGUUCGGGGCUCAACCCCGGAACUGCAGUGGGUACGGGCAGACUAGAGUGCGGUAGAGGAGACUGGAAUUCCUGGUGUAGCGGUGGAAUGCGCAGAUAUCAGGAGGAACACCAGUGGCGGAGGCGGGUCUCUGGGCCGCAACUGACGCUGAGGAGCGAAAGCGUGGGGAUCGAACAGG